Molecule: non-coding RNA, 21 nt
Filed under: Caenorhabditis elegans
Lineage: Eukaryota; Metazoa; Nematoda; Chromadorea; Rhabditida; Rhabditidae
Source: RNAcentral
UUUGUUUGAUAAUUACCAAAU